Prunus avium (sweet cherry) is the source of this 248-nucleotide non-coding RNA. The record is from RefSeq and is a predicted model, not a curated record. Lineage: Eukaryota; Viridiplantae; Streptophyta; Magnoliopsida; Rosales; Rosaceae.
AUGGUACCACGGGGGAUAUAAAUUUUCCAACCAAGUUAUGCUUCUCUUUUUGGUGGGGCUUGAGAAAUCUAAGCAACUUUGGCACGAAUCUCACAACAAGUAUUUAUGUGUGGGAAAACUUCUUUGCAAUCCUUAUUUCUAUCACUGGUGUGCUACUAUUUGUAUAUCUCAUUGGAAAUGUGCAGACAUUCAUUCAGUUGACAACCACAAAAUCGGAGGACAUAAGGCAAAAGAUUAAAAUAAAAGAG